GGGGAUGUGGUUUAGUGGUAUAAUACCUCUUUAGCAUGAUUCUCGACGCCAAGGCAUAAGCGUCGAGAACAUUUGAUGUUUAGAGGUGGUCCAGGGUUCGAUUCCCUGCAUCUCCA
Molecule: transfer RNA, 116 nt
Organism: Sphaerulina musiva SO2202
Lineage: Eukaryota; Fungi; Ascomycota; Dothideomycetes; Mycosphaerellales; Mycosphaerellaceae
Rfam family: tRNA
About the family: Transfer RNA (tRNA) molecules are approximately 80 nucleotides in length. Their secondary structure includes four short double-helical elements and three loops (D, anti-codon, and T loops). Further hydrogen bonds mediate the characteristic L-shaped molecular structure. tRNAs have two regions of fundamental functional importance: the anti-codon, which is responsible for specific mRNA codon recognition, and the 3' end, to which the tRNAs corresponding amino acid is attached (by aminoacyl-tRNA synthetases). tRNAs cope with the degeneracy of the genetic code in two manners: having more than one tRNA (with a specific anti-codon) for a particular amino acid; and 'wobble' base-pairing, i.e. permitting non-standard base-pairing at the 3rd anti-codon position.
Source: Rfam